GAUCAUGGCUCAGGAUGAACGCUAGCUACAGGCUUAACACAUGCAAGUCGAGGGGAACGAUAUUGGAAGCUUGCUUCCGAUAGGCGUCGACCGGCGCACGGGUGAGUAACGCGUAUCCAACCUGCCCGUCACUUGGGAAUAACCUUGCGAAAGUAAGACUAAUGCCCAAUGACAUUUAUAGAAGGCAUCUGAAAAUGAAUUAAAGAUUUAUCGGUGAUGGAUGGGGAUGCGUCUGAUUAGCUUGUUGGCGGGGUAACGGCCCACCAAGGCGACGAUCAGUAGGGGUUCUGAGAGGAAGGUCCCCCACAUUGGAACUGAGACACGGUCCAAACUCCUACGGGAGGCAGCAGUGAGGAAUAUUGGUCAAUGGGCGAGAGCCUGAACCAGCCAAGUAGCGUGCAGGAAGACGGCCCUAUGGGUUGUAAACUGCUUUUAUAGGGGAAUAAAGUGAGCCACGUGUGGUUUUUUGCAUGUACCCUAUGAAUAAGGACCGGCUAAUUCCGUG
This 505-nucleotide ribosomal RNA is filed under the name uncultured bacterium. RNAcentral describes it as "bacterial SSU rRNA". It matches the Rfam family "Bacterial small subunit ribosomal RNA", at positions 15 to 507 of the family's 1533-position model. The record is from RNAcentral.